Molecule: ribosomal RNA, 253 nt
Filed under: uncultured bacterium
Lineage: Bacteria
Description: partial 16S ribosomal RNA
Rfam family: Bacterial small subunit ribosomal RNA
Source: RNAcentral
UACGGAGGGAGCUAGCGUUGUUCGGAAUUACUGGGCGUAAAGCGCACGUAGGCGGCUUUUUAAGUCAGGGGUGAAAUCCCGGGGCUCAACCCCGGAACUGCCCUUGAAACUGGAAAGCUAGAAUCCUGGAGAGGCGAGUGGAAUUCCGAGUGUAGAGGUGAAAUUCGUAGAUAUUCGGAAGAACACCAGUGGCGAAGGCGACUCGCUGGACAGGUAUUGACGCUGAGGUGCGAAAGCGUGGGGAGCAAACAGG